UAAGAAAGAGAAAACAUAUUGAUUCUUAUUCAUUAUUUCUUCUAAAACCAUGUGAAGAAAAUUCCAUAACAUCCACGAGUACUCUGUUUCACUACAAAUUCAUUGAGGACAGUACUGCAUGGCUAAACAUGUAAAGAUUAGCAUUUAUUGUUCCAUUAGCAUUUGGUUUAUGCAAAGCCAGGCCUCAGCUAAAUCAGUAAACACACCGAUACAGGAAAUGGUUGAAGGUGAAUUUCAUCAGUUGGUAUCCUAUGAUGCUUGUGUGGGCAAAUUCCACCUUUAAGCUCAAGGUAGUUUGAUGUUUUGUUUGGAUGUUUAAAUUAUUACUUGCAAUUGCCUAUUCUUGUAAUACCUUAUUCUUUGAUGAGGAAAAAGAGGUUGGGUGGGAAAAGGCAGGAGCCAGCUGAGCAACAAAUAAUUUUUUAGCCCAUCUUCCCUAUGACCACUAAAAAAAAAAAAAAAAAGCUUUGCAAAAUAGUAUUCAAGCUAAGAUUCUCUGAAAUCAACUCCUGGCUUUCAUCUUGAUGAACUGUUGGUAAUUAUAGAGUUUAAAAUUACUAUAACUAUGAAAAUGCCUUUCUUUCUAGCUUAAUAUGUAGGUAGAUAUACAAAUAAAAUGAAACAUGGUAAAAAGAAGUGACUAGUAAUAAUUUCAUUAUUUUAUCUUAAGAUGUUCAAUUCAUUGGUGUGGAAGCACUGUGAAAGAGAUUAAAAGUAAAUUUCAACUUUAGAAUAAUUUUAUCAUUGGUUUCUUUUUUAAAAAAAGUUAGUGGACCUUUGCAUCUUAUUUUCUGGCAAAAUGAGUUGAUAAUGCCACCAAGUACUAAUUCAUGAAGCUACAUUUUUCUAAUUUAUGCCAUCUAUCAAAGCUUCAGUGUCAUAUAAACACAAAGAAAAAAAGCAAAGUACUCAUUUUUGAAGAAUUAAAAUAAAAGCAUUUGAAUCAUCUAAAAACAAAAACUUAAGAAUUUCCAUUUUUAUGAAAUGAAGAUGAUUAGUUUUCAGUAUCUCCCAGAAAAGCAGCAACGUAUCCAAUUUUUAAUUCCCCUAUUAAUUUAAAAAUAAAUAUAUGAUUAGAAUAUAACAUUUGCAAACUCUCUGGUCAUAAUACCAAUUAGCCUGCUUGUACUCUGAAUGUUAAAUAGUGUCGAUAGAUGUCAGCUAAGAAAAAAGCUUAAGCAAAACCAUGUUAAUAGAGACAACUUUGGCUUGUGAAUAUUUUUUGAAAAGCCCUUUGUUAUAAAGACGCAAGCUCCCUUCCAAAAUGAACAUAAGUAUACCAAGGUCUAUAGCACAAAUACAUGAUAUCCCAUUAAAAACAGUAUGGGAACAUAAGCAAGGGUAUAUUUUUUAUUAAUAUCCAGUAUCUCUUUAAUAUUUUAAAAUAAAUCAUUCACAAAAAGCACAGCCUUCUCCCUCCCUCUCACCCUCCCUCAUCUCUACUUUUUUUUUUUUUCCUGAGAGAGCAAUAAAAUACUGAGUGAACUCUGGGGAGGUGAAGAAACUAUAUUCAAAAGGCUUUUUAAAAAAAUCCAAAUUCUUCAUGUAUAUUACAUAGAAAAAAAAAACAGAAAAAAAUCGUUUAAUGUAUCUUAGAACAGUUGUAGCAAAAGAUAAACUAAAAGGGCAUUUAUUCUUACCUAAAAUUAGACAAUGACAAACAUAAUGUGUCACAUAAAAGAUUAGAAGUAUGGCUUACCUCUUGUCCUUUAACAUACCUGUUAGAAGAGGGGGAGAUGUAGAUCUGGUUAUAGAUUAAGGAAUACAUCAUAGCUAGGGUACUCGAACGCACAUCAGCACAUCCCACAGCUAGGUUUCAAACCUACCUUCCUCCCACACUCUGGGUAUCCUUCAAAUGCUAUCUCUCAUACACACAGACUGAAAGGAAUCUCUUGAGCAACUUAGGAAGCCCAUGUACUUACUGUCUUUGUGCCAAUGUACCUACAAUUCAAGAAGUCACAGGUCCUGUUAAAUGUGAUUACAUUCUGUUCCCAAGCAAAGAUUUAUGCACCAUACCAGCUUCUCACAAUGGCACAAUUACAAUGAAACACUGUGUUGCCCAUAUUGUUGGGGGGAAAAGUUGCUAUUCUCGUUCUAUGAUUGAUGAUAGGGAGAACACGCAUGCAUAAACAGAGCAUAUACAUGCAGAAAGUUUCAUUUAACCACGGGCUAGAUGAAAUGCAUUUCUUAUAAACGCUACAUACACACAGACACAUACACAAAUUAUUGGCUCUGUCUCCUGAGCAUAUUUGAAAACUGAAGGAUAUUGGAACACAGCUUGCCACAACCGGAAUUAUCAAAAGAAACUGCCAACCUAAAAACAUAACAUUUUAAGGAAGUCCAAAAAUAUAUCACUUUAACUAUGGAUUUUUGUUAAGUUUGCCUAGAAUAGAACCUCUCCUUUAUCCUGGGGAACAGAUGCUGUGGCUUCUAUAGGUUAACAUUAAUGUUAUAAACCAAUCAACAAGAUAAUGUCCUCCCAAACCAAAGAAUUCACCGAAAACCACGACAAGCCAAUCAUACCCCAAAUCAGCUAUAUAAGUUUUAGGCAUGGAAAAACAGUUAAACCCAGUAGAGCUUUCUCUGCUGGGCUUUCAGAGUUAAAAGGUAGUACCCUCUGCAACAUUUUUGUUCCAUUGCGAUAUUGAUCCACGGAUGCCAGGCUUGGUGACACACAAUGGGCAUUCAAACCACAGUCAGUCUUAGCAAAUUAGGUAAAUGAACGAUCAUUUGAUGGUAUUCUAUUGUUGCUAUUGUAAUCACAGCAAUUUUCACUGGUAAUGGUGCUUCGUGCUGAAGUGCAGUUUUCACAGGAUAAUUGUGAAAGAUAUCGAAAGAUUUCAGGAUGCAGCAUCUGGCUUUAAAAGCUCUUCACAUUCAAAUUGGCAUUUUACUUUAUCUUGAAAAUUUAUUAGAGAUUCAGAUCAUGCCGGUUUAAAUGGAAAGGUGAAAGCAGGGUAAUUUCAUUCUAUGAAUUAUUCAGUCUCAGGCUGGUGAAAUUGCCAUCCAUGAACUGAUGCUCUGACAGUCUCUUUUGCAGAGCCUCCAUUAUGCUUGUCAUUUUUAUUUCUUUAUCUACGAUCUCUUUUUCAGUUCCUGAGCUCGUCCCUUAGGGCUCAGCUUCACAAACCAAGUAUUUCAAAUUGGCAAUAACCUAAAUGUGCUGCUGUCUCAAAUCGCGGUCUCCACAGGCUGUCUUUUCCAAAUCAUUAAAACCCACAUCCAUGAUGAUGUCUUGUGAGGCUCUUCACUCAGAUGAAUUAAAACAUACACACACAUGCACACACAUGGAGGAAACAAAAAGAGGAGGGCAUCAUAUCGGAGAAGAGUUAUGCUCCUGUAACAAUCGAGAAGAUAAAGGGAGGCUUUGUGCUGGCUCCUUUGUUGUCAAUGUGACCCAUUCUAGCUGCAUAGCAUCACGCAGAAAGAGACAACCGCUAAAGCAGGCUGACUUAGCACCCUGAUUUCCAGCAAUAGCAGAUCAAGGACUCACUGCUUUGCGGAUAGACUGAUCCAUAGAAAUAUAGUCUGAGAGACCAAGCACAAUUAAUAGCUAUUUAGGAAAAGGAAAGAAGCAAGAAAAUUGGAUAACCAAAAUUGGGAGUCUUUCUUUCUCCCCGGCACCCACUGACACAGACUGCAAUCCCAGAGAUUCUCCACUUGAUGGCUGGUUGUGUCAUUGCUAGUCGACUGCUGCCCUGCAUCCAGAAAGGACUGGGAUUGAUUUAGGUCAGUGAGUCUGGCUUCUCCUUUAAAACCUUGCUCUAAGUGAGGCAAGCGAGAGUCUGCACCAGCCCCUACGGCCAGUAUCUUAUGUGAGCUGGGACAGUUAGACAGCUUCAGAGCUGGUGAAGUUGGCUGCAAAGGCCCCAGUCAGAGAGAUAAGUGACAGAGAACAUCGGCUCCUCUGUGAUAGACUUCCUAUUCCUGCGGGUAUAGCAGCGUGGCAUAAGAGACUAUUCAUACAAAAAAAAAGUGGUAGGAAACCAACCGUUCUCCUUCAGAGGCAGUUUGGGUACAAGGCUCCAAGUAAUACCUGCUCAGCUGAAAAUUCAUGCUGCCAAGUUAGAAACCAUCGUGCACAUCCAGGCUGCAUCUCUGCUCCUGGCUUAACAGAGGCAAUCACUCCUGGUUUAGGAAAGGACCGACACUCAGGACAAAAUAGAAUGGGAACCACCAUAUUGCUUUGUGCCUAGUUCUAUGAGUCUGCCUUGCCGCACUGCAGCAGGAAGAGCUAGCUGGGUGGUAGUUGUGAUAAUGUGGAAAGCAGCAGUUCUAUGACAGAGCAGUCAGCUGACUUCUACUGUGUUAUCCUUCAAUGUCCUCUACAGGAUAAGGCCAAUUUCUAAGGUAGCACACCAAGGAUGACCUUGCAUGCAAAAGCUGAUUUGACGAAAACAGCCUCUCCUGUACCCACUGCUGGCAGGCAUCCCCUCCCAUACCUAGUAGUACUUCUGGUGUUUUCUCAAGCAUAGAUUUUUUUGUCUUUUUUUUUUUAAACCCACAGCCCUGAGGACUUAACUCUUUCUGUCCUGCUUUGCAAAGCCUAAACAUGUUCCCUGGGAUGCCUUUUGCCAUGUUGAGAUCAGGGUACUUGCUAAUCUGGUCAGUGGCUGUUGCAGAGGGAAAAUUACAUAAGGAUUUCCUUGCCAGUUUUGAUUUCCGAAAACCGCAAACCUCCGGAAAGAUGGAGAUGUCACCGUAAUCUACUUGUGUCCAGCAACUAACAAGUGAAUAGUACCUGAUGGCAUGGCAGCAAGCAUAGGAAAAGCUUUAAGACUGGCGAGACCUUCACCCCUCAUGAAGAUACCAGCUGAGUGCUGAUAGGGAGACAGCUGAAAGAAUAAACCCCGGACAGAACUGGAGAUGUGACGGCCAGUUGUGCCAAGGAGAAGAUGACAAACUUGUUUUUGAUGUUGCCCACUUCCUCUGCUGAUGCCCAGUCCUGAAUGUCUUCAGCUUGCCAUCCCGUGCUGAGCAAAGUUCUCCGGCAGAGACCUGACCAAGCCCUCCAUAUCCUGUUCACAUUUUUCAUCUCAACAAUCUUCAGAUGGCACCAGAGGAUUAAUUGCCUAAAUACAUGAGCAAGAUUGUUGAGAAGCUUUGUAGUGAUGGCAAUAACAUUGGCUGAUGAUUGAAGUUCAUGCAACCUGGAAGUCUUCAGAUUUGUUCGAUGUGUCCAGGUAUUGUGGUGCUACUGAGAUCAGUUAUAAGAGACUUCAAUGACCAUCAAGUAUGAUUGUAGUAGUAAUUGGACAGAAAAAAACAAACAGUUCCAAAUGAAAAAAAAAAAAGAACCUACACAUAUAGGGGUAGGUCUUUAUGGCAAUUAUCAGAAAGAGUAAGAUGCUCCUUUCAGAAGGAUGUCAUUAAUAAAAUCUAAUUAUAUAUCAUGCAUGUAAAUCAAAGUGCCUACUUCUUCGAUAAGAAGCAAUGAAAUAGGGGCAGCUAGGUGGUGCAGUGGAUAGAGCACCGGCCCUGGAGUCAGGAGGACCUGAGUUCAAAUUCGGCCUCAGACA
This is a long non-coding RNA of Dromiciops gliroides (monito del monte), 5519 nucleotides long. RefSeq lists it as uncharacterized. The record is from RefSeq and is a predicted model, not a curated record. The transcript is spliced from 4 exons. Lineage: Eukaryota; Metazoa; Chordata; Mammalia; Microbiotheria; Microbiotheriidae.